AGGGUUCGAUUCUGGCUCAGGAUGAACGCUGGCGGCGUGCUUAACACAUGCAAGUCGAACGGGAUCCAUCAGGCUUUGCUUGGUGGUGAGAGUGGCGAACGGGUGAGUAAUGCGUGACCGACCUGCCCCAUACACCGGAAUAGCUCCUGGAAACGGGUGGUAAUGCCGGAUGCUCCGACUCCUCGCAUGGGGUGUCGGGAAAGAUUUCAUCGGUAUGGGAUGGGGUCGCGUCCUAUCAGGUAGUCGGCGGGGUAACGGCCCACCGAGCCUACGACGGGUAGCCGGCCUGAGAGGGCGACCGGCCACAUUGGGACUGAGAUACGGCCCAGACUCCUACGGGAGGCAGCAGUGGGGAAUAUUGCACAAUGGGCGCAAGCCUGAUGCAGCGACGCCGCGUGCGGGAUGACGGCCUUCGGGUUGUAAACCGCUUUUGAUCGGGAGCAAGCCUUCGGGUGAGUGUACCUUUCGAAUAAGCACCGGCUAACUACGUGCCAGCAGCCGCGGUAAUACGUAGGGUGCAAGCGUUAUCCGGAAUUAUUGGGCGUAAAGGGCUCGUAGGCGGUUCGUCGCGUCCGGUGUGAAAGUCCAUCGCUUAACGGUGGAUCUGCGCCGGGUACGGGCGGGCUGGAGUGCGGUAGGGGAGACUGGAAUUCCCGGUGUAACGGUGGAAUGUGUAGAUAUCGGGAAGAACACCAAUGGCGAAGGCAGGUCUCUGGGCCGUUACUGACGCUGAGGAGCGAAAGCGUGGGGAGCGAACAGGAUUAGAUACCCUGGUAGUCCACGCCGUAAACGGUGGAUGCUGGAUGUGGGGCCCGUUCCACGGGUUCCGUGUCGGAGCUAACGCGUUAAGCAUCCCGCCUGGGGAGUACGGCCGCAAGGCUAAAACUCAAAGAAAUUGACGGGGGCCCGCACAAGCGGCGGAGCAUGCGGAUUAAUUCGAUGCAACGCGAAGAACCUUACCUGGGCUUGACAUGUUCCCGACAGCCGUAGAGAUAUGGCCUCCCUUCGGGGCGGGUUCACAGGUGGUGCAUGGUCGUCGUCAGCUCGUGUCGUGAGAUGUUGGGUUAAGUCCCGCAACGAGCGCAACCCUCGCCCUGUGUUGCCAGCACGUCAUGGUGGGAACUCACGGGGGACCGCCGGGGUCAACUCGGAGGAAGGUGGGGAUGACGUCAGAUCAUCAUGCCCCUUACGUCCAGGGCUUCACGCAUGCUACAAUGGCCGGUACAACGGGAUGCGACACGGCGACGUGGAGCGGAUCCCUGAAAACCGGUCUCAGUUCGGAUUGGAGUCUGCAACCCGACUCCAUGAAGGCGGAGUCGCUAGUAAUCGCGGAUCAGCAACGCCGCGGUGAAUGCGUUCCCGGGCCUUGUACACACCGCCCGUCAAGUCAUGAAAGUGGGUAGCACCCGAAGCCGGUGGCCUAACCCUUUGUGGAUGGAGCCGUCUAAGGUGAGACUCGUGAUUGGGACUAAGUCGUAACAAGGUAGCCGUACCGGAAGGUGCGGCUGGAUCACCU
This 1516-nucleotide ribosomal RNA is filed under the name Bifidobacterium pseudocatenulatum. RNAcentral describes it as "bacterial SSU rRNA". It matches the Rfam family "Bacterial small subunit ribosomal RNA". Lineage: Bacteria; Bacillati; Actinomycetota; Actinomycetes; Bifidobacteriales; Bifidobacteriaceae. The record is from RNAcentral. RNAcentral also lists the same sequence under 1 other name.